UACGUAGGGUGCGAGCGUUGUCCGGAAUUAUUGGGCGUAAAGGGCUCGUAGGCGGUUUGUUAAGUGCAGAGUGAAAGCUCCCGGCUCAACUGGGAGAGGUCUUUGCAUACUGGCAAACUCGAGGGAGGCAGAGGAAAGUGGAAUUCCCGGUGUAGUGGUGAUAUGCGUAGAUAUCGGGAGGAACACCUGUGGCGAAGGCGGCUUUCUGGGCCUUACCUGACGCUGAGACGCGAAAGCGUGGGGAGCGAACCGGG
Molecule: ribosomal RNA, 254 nt
Filed under: uncultured bacterium
Lineage: Bacteria
Description: partial 16S ribosomal RNA
Rfam family: Bacterial small subunit ribosomal RNA
Source: RNAcentral